UGGAAGAUCUUCUAAUUGACAAUCAUAUUGUUUUUAGAAGUAUAUAUCCUAUAUAUAUGGGUAAUUGAUAAUAUCCAACGAACUAAAUCUUAUUCAAGUUCGUUCUUCUCCUAAUGGAGAAAUCCAUUAUCUUAUGAUGCUUCUUUCCUUGAUAUCUUUCAAGAAAACUAUUCUAAAGUGUUACCAUUCCUUGGAUCAAAUCUGAGGAUGUAAAUACUUUAGACGUCUUACUCAUCAACUUACAUUUCUUGAAUUCUUUGAAACAUUUUGCAAAGUAUUCGGACUUGUGUUUAUUCAAAAAUAAACUAUAGUCCAACCGAGAGUGAUCUUCGGUGAAUGUUAUCCAACAUGAGUAGUAUUUAUGUUUGUGGACAAGUGCCACUAACAUCUAAGUGAAUUAACCUCAACAACUUUGUGAUUCUUUCUUC
This 428-nucleotide long non-coding RNA is filed under the name Malus domestica (apple). RNAcentral describes it as "long non-coding RNA (MDOM_LNC019477)". The record is from RNAcentral. Lineage: Eukaryota; Viridiplantae; Streptophyta; Magnoliopsida; Rosales; Rosaceae.